RNAcentral lists this ribosomal RNA (249 nucleotides) under uncultured bacterium. RNAcentral's name for it is "partial 16S ribosomal RNA". It matches the Rfam family "Bacterial small subunit ribosomal RNA", at positions 334 to 600 of the family's 1533-position model. The record is from RNAcentral.
AUGGCCUACGGGGGGCAGCAGUGGGGAAUAUUGCACAAUGGGGGAAACCCUGAUGCAGCGACGCCGCGUGAGUGAGGAAGUAUUUCGGUAUGUAAGGCUCUAUCAGCAGGGAAGAAAAUGACGGUACCUGACUAAGAAGCCCCGGCUAACUACGUGCCAGCAGCCGCGGUAAUACGUAGGGGGCAAGCGUUAUCCGGAUUUACUGGGUGUAAAGGGAGCGUAGACGGCAUGGCAAGUCUGAUGUGAAAA